This is an RNA transcript of Lutzomyia longipalpis, 1342 nucleotides long. It is a transcript of the gene named cytoplasmic tRNA 2-thiolation protein 1, with no coding region annotated. The transcript has 3 exons. The record is from RefSeq and is a predicted model, not a curated record. Lineage: Eukaryota; Metazoa; Arthropoda; Insecta; Diptera; Psychodidae.
AUAUUAGGUUAUGUUUACAUCAUUUUCAUGUGUGAUUUUUAGGAAAAAUAUUGUGAUUUUUUCUUUGAGAAAAUGCCAAUUUUGUGCAAGACAGCGUGCGGCAAGAGGGCUAUAAUAAAGCGCCCCAAAACAGGGGAUGCGCUAUGUCGAGAAUGCUUCCUGGGAGCUUUUGAAGCGGAAAUUCAUCACACAAUCACGGAUAAUGCCCUUUUCACACCCGGAAUGACCGUGGCGAUUGCAGCAAGUGGUGGAAAGGAUUCAACAGUCCUGGCGUAUGUGCUAAAGACCCUAAAUGAGCGCCACAACUAUGGAUUGAAGCUCAUCCUGCUGUCUAUUGAUGAGGGUAUUACGGGAUACCGAGACGACAGCCUGGAGACAGUUAAACAAAAUCGCGAUGACUACGAGAUGCCACUGAAAAUUCUCUCCUACGAGGAACUCUACGGAUGGACAAUGGACAGGAUAGUCAGUGAGAUUGGGAAGAAUAACAAUUGCACAUUCUGCGGGGUCUUCCGGAGGCAGGCACUUGACAGGGGUGCUAAGCUCUUAGGGGUGGAUUGCAUCGCUACGGGACACAAUGCUGAUGAUAUUGCCGAGACGGUGCUGAUGAAUGUUCUUCGGGGUGAUACAGCUCGCCUACGGAGGUGUACGGAUAUCAAAACUGUUGGCGAGGAUGCAAUUCCACGCAUGAAACCACUGAAGUAUGCUUAUGAGAAGGAGAUUGUGAUGUAUGCAUACCAUCGGAAGCUUGUCUACUUCUCCACUGAAUGUGUCUUUGCCCCAAAUGCCUAUCGAGGUCAUGCAAGGGCCUACCUGAAGGAUUUGGAACGCAUCAGGCCUAGUGUGAUCAUUGACAUUAUUCUUUCGGGUGAACAGAUGGCCUUCCGGGAUACUGUGAAGGUUCCCACGAGGGGUACAUGCGAGAAAUGUGGCUUUGUGUCGUCGCAGCAACCCUGCAAGGCGUGCGUUUUGCUUGAGGGACUCAACAAAGGGCUCCCAAAGCUCGGAAUUGGGAAGAAAUCAAAGGGAGAUAGGAUGUUGGCUGAGCACGAGAAACAACUUGUGGCCAGAAUGAAUGCUCAUUCGGUUAAGAAUGAUUUUUAACAUUGAUCUGUUGGGAUAUUUUUAUAAAAUUGAGAGGGAGGCGAAAGCUCUGGAAGACAAGUUGAGUUUUUCUCUUUAACUCCUGCUUGAAGAAGAAAAUUUCUACUGACGAUGAGCGGAAGAGCCAAUAAAUAUUUUAUUAAAGAUCUUUUGAUUAAAUAAAUAUUUAUUUUUUAUACCUAUAAGAAUUUUAUAUAAAUAUAAAUAAAGCCACAAGUACUCUGCGUUGAUACCACUGCUU